RNAcentral lists this ribosomal RNA (25 nucleotides) under Paradevriesia americana. RNAcentral's name for it is "Devriesia americana partial 26S ribosomal RNA". The record is from RNAcentral. Lineage: Eukaryota; Fungi; Ascomycota; Dothideomycetes; Capnodiales; Paradevriesiaceae. RNAcentral also lists the same sequence under 6 other names.
GUUGACCUCGGAUCGGGUAGGGAUA